Non-coding RNA from Pelobates cultripes (western spadefoot toad), 1026 nucleotides. The record is from the annotation of a GenBank genome assembly. NCBI's taxonomy places the organism in Eukaryota, Metazoa, Chordata, Amphibia, Anura, Pelobatidae.
GUUCAAUCGCCAUGGAGUCAAAGUUCUUACAGUCUUUCGGUAUACGAAUGACUCCAUUGGAAGGCUAUCUGGGUUAAGUCUUUUCGUAUGCUCUCAAUCUCCCGAACAGCCGGUGUUCGCAUGCUUUCGUGGAGGCAGCCAGGCGUUCCGUUGUUUCAGCGGUGUUCGGCAGAAAAAGUGUCCGUUUUCAGUUCCAUAGAAAUAGAGCCAAACACCGCUGAGCAUUCGCAUGAUUUAAAAUGGCCGCUACCUCGUGGUCGACAUACGAACGACGACCACCCUGAAUUCGGCUUAAUUGAGAAGUGUCUGCGGUUAACCACAACGUUCUAAUUGGGAUCACUUCGUUAACCUGCAGCACACUCCUCACUUGGGUGGCCGUUCGUUCGGCAGUUUUGUUCGGGAAAAAGAGUCAUUCGAAUGGCUGGGCUAUAGAAACCAGCCAUUCAUACGAACGGAGGACAAACAGACGAACGUAGUAAAAAUCUAAGCAGACAGAUGGUUCUGUCACAGGAGAGAUUAUACGAAUCAUGGCCGGGCUAUUCACUAAAGGGAGAGAUUAUACGAAUCCUGGCCGGGCUAUUCACUAAAGGGAGAGAUUAUACGAUCCUGGCCGAGCUAUUCACUAAAGGGAGAGAUUAUACGGAUCCUGGCCGAGCUAUUCACUAAAGGGAGAGAUUAUACGAAUCCUGGCCGGGCUAUUCACUAAAGGGAGAGAUUAUACGAAUCCUGGCCGGGCUAUUCACUAAAGGGAGAGAUUAUACGAAUCCUGGCUGGGCUAUUCACUAAAGGGCGAGAUUAUACGAAUCCUGGCCGGGCUAUUCACUAAAGGGAGAGAUUAUACGAAUCCUGGCCGGGCUAUUCACUAAAAAGGGCGAGAUUAUACGAAUCCUGGCCGGGCUAUUCACUAAAGGGCGAGUUUAUACGAAUCCUAGCCUGGCUAUUCACUAAAGGGCGAGAUUAUACGAAUCCUGGCUGGGCUAUUCACUAAAGGGGAGUGUGACAGAACCAUCAGUAUGAUUAUUCAGG